AGCGAACGCUGGCGGCAGGCCUAACACAUGCAAGUCGAACGAACUCUUCGGAGUUAGUGGCGGACGGGUGAGUAACACGUGGGAACGUGCCUUUUGGUUCGGAAUAACUCAGGGAAACUUGUGCUAAUACCGAAUGUGCCCUUCGGGGGAAAGAUUUAUCGCCAUUAGAGCGGCCCGCGUCUGAUUAGCUAGUUGGUGAGGUAACGGCUCACCAAGGCGACGAUCAGUAGCUGGUCUGAGAGGAUGACCAGCCACACUGGGAAUGAGACACGGCCCAGACUCCGACGGGAGGCAGCAGUAGGGAAUCUUGCGCAAGGGGCGAAAGCCUGACGCAGCCAUGCCGCGGGAAUGAUGAAGGUCUUAGGAUUGUAAAAUUCUUUCACCGGGGACGAUAAUGACGGUACCCGGAGAAGAAGCCCCGGCUAACUUCGUG
RNAcentral lists this ribosomal RNA (433 nucleotides) under uncultured bacterium. Its description in RNAcentral is "partial 16S ribosomal RNA". It matches the Rfam family "Bacterial small subunit ribosomal RNA", at positions 29 to 507 of the family's 1533-position model. The record is from RNAcentral.